GUUAAUAAGAGCGUUUACUUAAGAAGUGAUUAGAUUUGGGGUUAGAGUUUUGAGCAAAAAAGUGACAUCUUUAUCCAUCAAAAAGGAGCGAGUAAAGGGGAAGAGGAAGCAAAGAGGAACAGAUAAGCUAAUUAGAGAGAUGAUGAUGUGAGAAAGGGAAGGAGGAGGAGGAGAGGGUUUGUUGUUGGUUUUUGGUUUUAGUUUUGGGAGUGGUAGGAGGAUGAGGAUGAUGACUGUAGAUAAUAAAAAUCUGGGUUUUGUGGUUGUCCUUCUUAACCCACCACAAAUUUUUAACCCUGGUUCUAAUCUCUGGUUAACUUUUUGUGUCCCCACUUGAGAGAUUAAAUUAGAUUAGAUUGUUGUUUAUUUAUGUGAUGUGUGUAAUAAAUACGAGUAAAUGGUUAUGAACCAACUUGAUUAAUUAC
RNAcentral lists this long non-coding RNA (425 nucleotides) under Panax ginseng (ginseng). RNAcentral's name for it is "long non-coding RNA (PGIN_LNC003246)". The record is from RNAcentral. Lineage: Eukaryota; Viridiplantae; Streptophyta; Magnoliopsida; Apiales; Araliaceae.